RNAcentral lists this transfer RNA (82 nucleotides) under Henningerozyma blattae CBS 6284. RNAcentral describes it as "tRNA-Ser (CGA) (tRNA-Ser-CGA-1-1)". It matches the Rfam family "tRNA". Rfam says of the family: Transfer RNA (tRNA) molecules are approximately 80 nucleotides in length. Their secondary structure includes four short double-helical elements and three loops (D, anti-codon, and T loops). The record is from RNAcentral. Lineage: Eukaryota; Fungi; Ascomycota; Saccharomycetes; Saccharomycetales; Saccharomycetaceae.
GGCAUUAUGGCCGAGUGGUUAAGGCGAAAGACUCGAAAUCUUUUGGGUUUUACCCGCGCAGGUUCAAAUCCUGCUGAUGUCG